GGGGAAUAUUGCACAAUGGGGGAAACCCUGAUGCAGCAACGCCGCGUGAGCGAUGAAGGCCUUCGGGUUGUAAAGCUCUGUCUUCUCUGACGAUAAUGACGGUAAGAGAGGAGGAAGCCACGGCUAACUACGUGCCAGCAGCCGCGGUAAUACGUAGGUGGCAAGCGUUGUCCGGAAUUAUUGGGCGUAAAGGAUGCGUAGGCGGUCUUUUAAGUGGGAUGUGAAAUACCCGGGCUUAACCUGGGAAUGGCAUUCCAAACUGGAAGACUAGAGUGCAGGAGAGGAAAGUGGAAUUCCCAGUGUAGCGGUGAAAUGCGUAGAGAUUGGGAGGAACACCAGUGGCGAAGGCGACUUUCUGGACUGUAACUGACGCUGAGGCAUGAAAGCGUGGGGAGCAAAC
Molecule: ribosomal RNA, 400 nt
Filed under: uncultured bacterium
Lineage: Bacteria
Description: bacterial SSU rRNA
Rfam family: Bacterial small subunit ribosomal RNA
Source: RNAcentral